AUGAACGCUGGCGGCGUGCCUAAUACAUGCAAGUCGCGCGAACGGACGAGAAGCUUGCUUUUCUGAUGUUAGCGGCGGACGGGUGAGUAACACGUGGAUAACCUACCUAUAAGACUGGGAUAACUUCGGGAAACCGGAGCUAAUACCGGAUAAUAUUUUGAACCGCAUGGUUCAAAAGUGAAAGACGGUCUUGCUGUCACUUAUAGAUGGAUCCGCGCUGCAUUAGCUAGUUGGUAAGGUAACGGCUUACCAAGGCAACGAUGCAUAGCCGACCUGAGAGGGUGAUCGGCCACACUGGAACUGAGACACGGUCCAGACUCCUACGGGAGGCAGCAGUAGGGAAUCUUCCGCAAUGGGCGAAAGCCUGACGGAGCAACGCCGCGUGAGUGAUGAAGGUCUUCGGAUCGUAAAACUCUGUUAUUAGGGAAGAACGUAUGUGUAAGUAACUGUGCACAUCUUGACGGUACCUAAUCAGAAAGCCACGGCUAACUACGUG
RNAcentral lists this ribosomal RNA (496 nucleotides) under uncultured bacterium. RNAcentral describes it as "partial 16S ribosomal RNA". It matches the Rfam family "Bacterial small subunit ribosomal RNA", at positions 29 to 507 of the family's 1533-position model. The record is from RNAcentral.